AGUAUUUGCUAAAUUAAUGAACAAAUGGAACUUUUUCAGAUAGCUUACAAUAAAAAUAUAAUUCAAUGACAUUUACAAAAUCUAAAUAAGAACUAGAGAACUAGGACUGGGGAAAAUCCAGACUAGGAACUGAAAUACAGAAUAUGGUUUAACUUUAUGAACUAUUUACUCCCUAAGGAAAAUAGACCAGAUGACCUUUCCAAGAGUUGACUAUCCAAACUUGACAUCUGUGAGGAUCUCUGAAGGGCCAAGAAACCUAGCUUCUAAUAUCGCCUUGAUCCCUAACUAACUUGUAUUUUCAAUCAAGUCCUUUAACUUCUCUAGGCAUCACUUUCCUCCUCUGUAAAAUAAGAAGAUUGGAUUAGAUGGUCUUUAGAAUCCCUCCUAAUCUCUAGUAGCCUUAGUACACAAUAAGGAAAGAAAUAAGCACAUGAGCCAAGUUCUCCUCACAUCCCCCCAGCACCUCCUCUCACCCCAACUCUCCCUUCCUUAUGCAUCGGCCUCACAAUACUAGUCCACUCCUAAUUUUAGAUUUGAACCUUAUGACCAUUUCCCCAUGCUCUGUUUACUGGGUUGUUUAUUCUUUUACAGUACAUUGAUUUUUCAGUUUUGGCUUUUGAGGGAGCUUGCUCAAUAGGAAUCCAAAAGUGCUUUUGCUUAUACCACUUCUGAGAAUUAAAAACAGACAUGAUGUAAGUAUCAAUGUUGACUAUUUCAGAAAAAAAAGAAACAUCCAAAUAGUGAAAAGUUAAAAUUAAAUUUGAUCUUUUUAUUUUUUAUUUUUUUGAGAUGGAAUCUCACUGUGUCGCCUAGGCUGGAGUGCAGUGGCGUGAUCUUGAUUCACUGCAAUGUCCACCUCCCGGGUCCAAGCAAUUCUCCUGCCUCAGCCUCCCAAGUUGGCUGUGAUUACAGCACUCUUCUUUCUGGGAGGAAACUAGACUGCUUUAGAAAUCACUGCAGGAAUCACAGAGUAAAAUGGAGAAGAACCCAGGGAUGUGUCAUAACACAGUAGUCUGAAAAAGGGCCAGGUAGAAGAGUGGGAAGGACUAUGCCUCUGGCAAGUGCAAGUUCAUAAAUUCCAGUUUCUUCAAGUUACGAGGCACAUCUGCAUCCCCAGAUGAUGGCUACUGGUCAGAACACUGAACUCAUACCAAAAGCUGCUGUUGUUGACAGUUUAAUGUCUAUGGAUCUGACUCGGAGAGAAAUGUGCCACUUACUGAAUCACCAACACCAUAUCUUUGGUGUUGAGGUGGGGCACGCUUACUUUUUCAUCUGAAGAUUGACACAGCCCACCAAGAACAUUUGAAAGAGACAGGAUUGCUGCUGAAAAGGCAUGACAUCAAGCCACACAAAUUGGAUGGUAAGACUAGAGAUUAACUUGUGAACAGGUCGUAUGACGAGAGCUGAAACGUACAACUGGAUCUUGGUCAUGCCAUUCCUCAAAGGAGACUAAGAAAUCCUGAAUUUUUAAUUUAUGCUUAAUAGCCAUGGCUUUGUCUCUACAGAGUGUUUGUGAUACAUUUCUAAGCAUUGGUAAAUUAAUUCUUACUGCACCAACUUGGUGGAAAUCUGUUCCAUCAGAAAGAGUUAAUACAUCCAAAGAGAUAGAAACACAUUUAAGACUAACUUUCACAAGUUCCUGCUUAGCUAAGAAUGAAACUAGAAAACUUUAUUUUGAGUAUUUUACAUUUCUGAUGGUACAGAAUCAACAGUUUGGGAAGCUUAAUACCUAUUUGCCAAGAGAAAAAGUCAGAAUUCUCUUUUCAGGUCUACAUUCUUUUAACUUGUCUCAUCUUUUUAUGUACCCUAGUAGUUUCAGAGAUACACUUGAAGAUAGAGCAAUUUCUGUUUUCAUCACUUUUAACAACAAUGGGUCUUUUUAUCAUUGUCAAUGAAUCAAUAUUCAGCCAGUGCUCCUGAGGAGAUGAAAAAUUCCACCGGCAAUUAUCUUACAGAGUCACCAUGAUUACUAGGUUAUAUGGUUUGGCUGUGCCCCCACCCAAAUCUCAUCUUGAAUUCCCAUGUGUUGCGGGAGGGACCCAGUGGGAGGUAACUGAAUCAUGGAGACAAGUCUUUCUUGUGCUGUUCUUAUGAUAGUGAAUAAGUCUCAUGAGAUCUUAUGGUUUUAUAAAGAAGAGUCCCCCUGCACAAGCUCUCUCUCUCUUUGCCUGCUGCCAUCUAUUUAAGAUGUGACUUGCUCUUCCUUGCCUUCCGCCGUGAUUGUGAGGCUUCCCCAGCCAUGUGGAACUGUAAGUCCAAUUAAACCUCUUCUUUUGUAAA
Homo sapiens (human) is the source of this 2280-nucleotide long non-coding RNA. RefSeq lists it as uncharacterized. The record is from RefSeq and is a predicted model, not a curated record. The transcript has 2 exons. NCBI's taxonomy places the organism in Eukaryota, Metazoa, Chordata, Mammalia, Primates, Hominidae.